This 88-nucleotide transfer RNA is filed under the name Bacillus sp. C1-1. RNAcentral's name for it is "tRNA-Leu". It matches the Rfam family "tRNA". Rfam says of the family: Transfer RNA (tRNA) molecules are approximately 80 nucleotides in length. Their secondary structure includes four short double-helical elements and three loops (D, anti-codon, and T loops). Further hydrogen bonds mediate the characteristic L-shaped molecular structure. tRNAs have two regions of fundamental functional importance: the anti-codon, which is responsible for specific mRNA codon recognition, and the 3' end, to which the tRNAs corresponding amino acid is attached (by aminoacyl-tRNA synthetases). tRNAs cope with the degeneracy of the genetic code in two manners: having more than one tRNA (with a specific anti-codon) for a particular amino acid; and 'wobble' base-pairing, i.e. permitting non-standard base-pairing at the 3rd anti-codon position. The record is from RNAcentral. Lineage: Bacteria; Bacillati; Bacillota; Bacilli; Caryophanales; Bacillaceae.
GCGGUUGUGGCGGAAUGGCAGACGCGCUAGGUUGAGGGCCUAGUGGGAGUUAAAUCCCGUGGAAGUUCGAGUCUUCUCAACCGCAUCA